GAGAUUCAAAAUGGUGCCUGGCCGAGGGAAGCUGGCACGGCAGGGCCUCUGCAACCCAAGGAUCAGGAAAGAGUUGGGAUGUCCUGCAAAAGAGGUUUAUUGUUCGAUUGAUUUAUAUCCCACUUCUUCUCUGGGAGUUCAAGCCAACAUCACUGCACUUGUUUCUUCAUUUUUCGCCAUGGGGGGUGGGCUGUUUUAAGACAGCAUGAGAAACUCAAAUCUCCAAGUAUAUAACGGUCUGUGGUGAAUGGCUUUGGAAGACAGGAGGAAGAAUCCCAGGCUGGACAACCAUCAUGCAAGAGAUCAGCUUUAGACGUCAAUCUGCGGAGUUGGGCGGAAAAAAUUCAGGGAAUGAAUCCAGAAGCAACUGCUCUCCACCAGUUGCAGCAAGCCCACUUACGUGGUUCUGCACGGAAACACCUCCGAGUUACCGGAAUGCACGAGAACUGGCUGCUCAUAAAACGAGGACUUUUGAUUAAUUUCACGGAGGCUGUUUAAAAAGUUUGCACG
Molecule: long non-coding RNA, 510 nt
Organism: Protobothrops mucrosquamatus (brown spotted pit viper)
Lineage: Eukaryota; Metazoa; Chordata; Lepidosauria; Squamata; Viperidae
Exons: 3
Source: RefSeq, a predicted model, not a curated record